RNAcentral lists this non-coding RNA (151 nucleotides) under Skeletonema grethae. The record is from RNAcentral. Lineage: Eukaryota; Bacillariophyta; Thalassiosirophyceae; Thalassiosirales; Thalassiosiraceae.
UUUUUUUUUUUUUUUUUGGUUUUUUUUUUUUUUUUUUUUUCAUCAUCACUACCUCUAGCGAGCGAGCAGCAUAACAAUAGCUUGGUAAAAUACAACGAUUGGUCAUUUGAAAAAAGACACUGCAACGUGGCAAUUAUUUAAUAAUCUCUUC